This 87-nucleotide transfer RNA is filed under the name Lysobacter capsici. Its description in RNAcentral is "tRNA-Leu". It matches the Rfam family "tRNA". From Rfam's summary of the family: Transfer RNA (tRNA) molecules are approximately 80 nucleotides in length. Their secondary structure includes four short double-helical elements and three loops (D, anti-codon, and T loops). Further hydrogen bonds mediate the characteristic L-shaped molecular structure. tRNAs have two regions of fundamental functional importance: the anti-codon, which is responsible for specific mRNA codon recognition, and the 3' end, to which the tRNAs corresponding amino acid is attached (by aminoacyl-tRNA synthetases). tRNAs cope with the degeneracy of the genetic code in two manners: having more than one tRNA (with a specific anti-codon) for a particular amino acid; and 'wobble' base-pairing, i.e. permitting non-standard base-pairing at the 3rd anti-codon position. The record is from RNAcentral. Lineage: Bacteria; Pseudomonadati; Pseudomonadota; Gammaproteobacteria; Lysobacterales; Lysobacteraceae.
GCCCGGAUGGCGAAAUCGGUAGACGCAGCGGACUUAAAAUCCGCCGGGGGCAACCCCUUGCCGGUUCGAGUCCGGCUCCGGGCACCA